RNAcentral lists this ribosomal RNA (253 nucleotides) under uncultured bacterium. RNAcentral's name for it is "partial 16S ribosomal RNA". It matches the Rfam family "Bacterial small subunit ribosomal RNA", at positions 524 to 776 of the family's 1533-position model. The record is from RNAcentral.
UACGAAGGGGGCUAGCGUUGUUCGGAUUUACUGGGCGUAAAGGGCGCGUAGGCGGCAUAUUAAGUCAGCUGUGAAAUCUCCGAGCUUAACUCGGAACGGUCAGCUGAUACUGAUGUGCUAGAGUGCAGAAGGGGCAAUCGGAAUUCUUGGUGUAGCGGUGAAAUGCGUAGAUAUCAAGAGGAACACCUGAGGUGAAGACGGGUUGCUGGGCUGACACUGACGCUGAGGCGCGAAAGCCAGGGGAGCAAACGGG